AUUCGUGUUCAUUCAAUAAACCAGAUAUUAAGAGUUUACAGGAGUCAGAACACAUGAAGUAGUUUUUUUUUUUUUUUUUUUUUUUUUUUUUUUAAGACAAAUUCAAAACCGGGCCAUUGCUUACUGAAGAAACCAGGAGGACACGAGCUGACAAAUUGACAUUCAACAAAUUCUUGGCAUGAAGCUUGAAAACAGUGGGAAACAGUAUCAGGCUUUCAACUCAAAGAGCCCCAUGGGGUCGAGACAAGCCAUGUUUGCUUGAAUGGAGAGGAAGAAUGAAUGACACAUAAGAGAACUUCAG
RNAcentral lists this long non-coding RNA (301 nucleotides) under Cricetulus griseus (Chinese hamster). Its description in RNAcentral is "lncRNA (ENSCGRG00000024316.1)". Lineage: Eukaryota; Metazoa; Chordata; Mammalia; Rodentia; Cricetidae. The record is from RNAcentral.